CAGCCGCCACGGGAAUACGGAGGGUGCAAGCGUUAAUCGGAAUUACUGGGCGUAAAGCGCACGCAGGCGGUCUGACAAGUCAGAUGUGAAAUCCCCGGGCUUAACCUGGGAACUGCAUUUGAAACUGUCAGGCUGGAGUCUUGUAGAGGGGGGUGGAAUUCCAGGUGUAGCGGUGAAAUGCGUAGAGAUCUGGAGGAAUACCGGUGGCGAAGGCGGCCCCCUGGACAAAGACUGACGCUCAGGUGCGAAAGCGUGGGGAGCAAACAGGAUUAGAGACCCCUGUAGUCCCUGUCUCUUAUAA
RNAcentral lists this ribosomal RNA (301 nucleotides) under uncultured bacterium. RNAcentral's name for it is "partial 16S ribosomal RNA". It matches the Rfam family "Bacterial small subunit ribosomal RNA", at positions 509 to 809 of the family's 1533-position model. The record is from RNAcentral.